Herpailurus yagouaroundi (jaguarundi) is the source of this 1376-nucleotide long non-coding RNA. RefSeq lists it as uncharacterized. The record is from RefSeq and is a predicted model, not a curated record. NCBI's taxonomy places the organism in Eukaryota, Metazoa, Chordata, Mammalia, Carnivora, Felidae. The transcript has 2 exons.
AAGGAAGGAAGGAAGGAAGGAUGGAUGAGUAGCAGGCUAAAGAAUUGGGAAAAGAGGAACCUGGGCCCUCUGGUAUGGAUAGGCUACCUCAUAGGGCUCAUACUGCCCUCCUGAUCUGGGGACCUGCAAUACAGUUCUGCUUCACAUUUGAAUUGUGAAGAACAUUUCCAACUCUCUUUAAAUAAAAUACAAAGUCACUCCAAAGAACAUUUUCCUCAUCUGGGCCAUGUCUCACGCCAUUAAUGUAAAACUGCUGAUUUAAUGGAGCUGUUUUUGAUCUAUUAAGAAAAGACACACCUAAUUUAAUUUCGCUAUUUUUCCAAGAAUAAGUGUCUUAAUUUGCAGAAGGAUUUGAUUAUAAUUUUAAGUAAUAUUGCAGUUGUACUUUUAGUCAUGAAGAUGAUAUUGAGUGCCUUUAUGGGGCUCAAAUGUGGAAAGUCCCAGAGAAUUGUAUGAGUUGGGAAUUUUAUCUUUAACAACAUUCAGGGCCAUUUCUGUUUGUAAUGUGACAAAUAUUUUUUAGAAUGAACAGGAUCUCUGAUAGGGAAUUUUGCAUUAAAAAAAAAAGAAAGAAAGAAAGAAAAGCAGGCAGUUUUCCCUUCAAGUGUGAAGUGGAAUAAUCCCAGAAUAUAAAAACAUGUAAAACUGAGAUACAGACACCCAUCACUUUUAUCUGUACAUUUUCUUUUUAAAACAUGUGUUAUCAUGAGAGAAUUUCUAAUACUGAUCUUUGUUCCCACUGGGUCAGCUUUGUUUCUUCAUUUCCUUCUGAAUUACUCUGAAAAAAUGGAAAAUUUCUAGAUACUCCAAUGUACCUACUGAAAUAUAUUAUAGAUAUUGAAUGUGUUAUCCAAAUGUUAGACUCAAAUGGGAUUGAAUUUCCAUUCUGCACCUGAUGACAUAUAUUCUCCAAUUAUGAGAGAAAACAAACAAACAAAAAUUUCCUUCUUCCCUCUGUCAGUCUACCCGGAGCCAGAUUUAGCCAUAUCUCAUGGAGAAAAUUGCUUUCCUAUAACUGACAACCUGUAGGGUCAUUGGUGUGACCCUGUCUGGUGUCAGGUUGAAAGCCAUGGGAGAUACCACAGCAGGUGAAUGGGAACAACACCAGCAGUAUGAGGGACACACAUGGUCACCCCACAGUGGCCACUGCCAGAUACAGGGUGCCAGGCCCUGGGAGGAUGGGGACGCCAGCAUAUGGGUGAGCCUGCCAGGGUUGGGAGGUAAUUUUAAUGAAGGAAUGAGUGACAGAUAGAAAGAGGCAUCUGCAUUGCCAAGUGCAAGGACGGCCCAACCUGGGGUACUCUUGCUGCAGAAGUCUUACCCUGCAGACAGGGGAAUUGCACCGGUGGGAUUUAGUAAAAAAAAAAAAAAAAAAA